AUGUUUUGUGCUUUAUUAGUCUGCUUUGUUUUUGUUGCACAGAUUGCAGCAAAAGUUGGCAUGGAUCCAUGUAUGGUUGCACAAAUAUCAUUUCUUUUGCACAGACACUACAUGCAAUUUUAUUGUUCUAUCUGCAACUACACAUUGUGUUUAUUUGCACAUAUCCAGGCAAAAGUUGGCUUACUUUCAUGUUUAGUUACACAAAUAGAUGGUUUUUUUGCACAGGCACUACAUCCUGUCUAUUUUUGCAUAUGCAACUACUCCUUUUUUUAUAUGCACACAUCCAGGCAAAAGUUGGCUUAG
Molecule: ribosomal RNA, 303 nt
Filed under: Triticum aestivum (bread wheat)
Lineage: Eukaryota; Viridiplantae; Streptophyta; Magnoliopsida; Poales; Poaceae
Description: partial small subunit ribosomal RNA
Source: RNAcentral